This 204-nucleotide ribosomal RNA is filed under the name Moraxella caviae. Its description in RNAcentral is "partial 23S ribosomal RNA". It matches the Rfam family "Bacterial large subunit ribosomal RNA", at positions 1440 to 1644 of the family's 2925-position model. The record is from RNAcentral. Lineage: Bacteria; Pseudomonadati; Pseudomonadota; Gammaproteobacteria; Moraxellales; Moraxellaceae.
GAUACUUGUUUAUGAUGCGAUGGAGGGACGGAGAAGGCUAUGUCAGCCUGGCGUUGGUUGUCCAGGUGAAAGGAUGUAGGUAGGUUUAGUAGGCAAAUCCGCUAGACUAUUACUGAGAUCUGACAGCAAGCUGUACAUGUACAGCGAAGUGGCAAAUGCCCUGCUUCCAGGAAAAGCUUCUAAGCGAUAGUCAUAAACAAAUCG